GCUGCGAUAGCUUAAGAAGAGAGCAUGACACUGAAGCUGUUAGGGUAGUUUAAUUAACUUUGCAGCA
RNAcentral lists this transfer RNA (67 nucleotides) under Micrura bella. Its description in RNAcentral is "tRNA-Phe". Lineage: Eukaryota; Metazoa; Nemertea; Pilidiophora; Heteronemertea; Lineidae. The record is from RNAcentral.